This 450-nucleotide ribosomal RNA is filed under the name uncultured bacterium. Its description in RNAcentral is "bacterial SSU rRNA". It matches the Rfam family "Bacterial small subunit ribosomal RNA", at positions 354 to 796 of the family's 1533-position model. The record is from RNAcentral.
GUGGGGAAUUUUGGACAAUGGGCGAAAGCCUGAUCCAGCCAUGCCGCGUGCAGGAUGAAGGCCUUCGGGUUGUAAACUGCUUUUGUACGGAACGAAAAGACUCCUUCUAAUAAAGGGGGUCCAUGACGGUACCGUAAGAAUAAGCACCGGCUAACUACGUGCCAGCAGCCGCGGUAAUACGUAGGGUGCAAGCGUUAAUCGGAAUUACUGGGCGUAAAGCGUGCGCAGGCGGUUAUAUAAGACAGAUGUGAAAUCCCCGGGCUCAACCUGGGAACUGCAUUUGGGACUGUAUAGCUAGAGUACGGUAGAGGGGGAUGGAAUUCCGCGUGUAGCAGUGAAAUGCGUAGAUAUGCGGAGGAACACCGAUGGCGAAGGCAAUCCCCUGGGCCUGCACUGACGCUCAUGCACGAAAGCGUGGGGAGCAAACAGGAUUAGAAACCCUAGUAGUCC